Molecule: ribosomal RNA, 1269 nt
Filed under: Petascelis remipes
Lineage: Eukaryota; Metazoa; Arthropoda; Insecta; Hemiptera; Coreidae
Description: partial large subunit ribosomal RNA
Rfam family: Eukaryotic large subunit ribosomal RNA
Source: RNAcentral
CGGGGCCCAUCUCUCGGGGUGGGCUCUCGAACAGCUCUCCGGGCCCGCGGCCGUCGGUCAGGGCGGUAUGAAACGACUUGGCGCUGGGCCGCUCCUUCGAGAGCGCCGAGCCUCCCCGCAAGCUCGUGCCGGACAGGCGGGGCCGUGCCCUCGCGGGUACGCCCGGCUGUCCGCCCGGACUGUUGGCGGGUGACGGCUUUGGCUGCCGUCCAGCACGCUCGUCGGCGGCGCUUCAGAUUCGGGAACUUAUCCGACCCGUCUUGAAACACGGACCAAGGAGUCUAGCGUGUGCGCGAGUCAUUGGGUGUAAAACCUAAAGGCGUAAUGAAAGUGUCAGAGGCGCUCACGCGCUCUCGGUGGGAGGAUGGGCUCCCGGCCGUCCGGCCGGUGCCCCGCACUCCCGGGGCGUUUCGAACUCAAUUUACGAGUAGAGACGCACCAGGAGCGCACACGCUGGUGCCCGAAAGAUGGUGAACUAUGCCUGGCCAGGACGAAGCCAGGGGAAACCCUGGUGGAGGUCCGAAGCGAUUCUGACGUGCAAAUCGAUCGUCUGAGCUGGGUAUAGGGGCGAAAGACCAAUCGAACCAUCUAGUAGCUGGUUCCCUCCGAAGUUUCCCUCAGGAUAGCUGGCACUCGGUAUGAGAAGAGUCUCAUCCGGUAGAGCGAAUGAUUAGAGGUGAUGGGGUCGAAACGACUUCAACCUAUUCUCAAACUCCCAAUAGAUGAGAGCCCCGGCUUGCUUGAAAGUGAAGCCGCGGGACUCGGAUCAGAGGAGCCAAGUGGGCCAAUUUUGGUAAGCAGAACUGGCGCUGUGGGAUGAACCAAACGAAGAGUUAAGGCGCCUGAUUCGACGCUCAUAUGAAACCAUGAAAGGCGUUGGUUGCUUAAGACAGCAGGACGGUGGCCAUGGAAGUCGGAAUCCGCUAAGGAGUGUGUAACAACUCACCUGCCGAAGCAACUAGCCCUGAAAAUGGAUGGCGCUGUAGCGUCGUGCCUAUACUCUUCCGUCAACGGCAAAGCGGGCGGCCCUUAACGGGGCGUUGCCGUUAAGCCUUGACGAGUAGGAGGGUCGCGGCGGUGUGCGCGGAAGGGUCUGGGCGUGAGCCCGCCUGGAGCCGCCGCCGGUGCAGAUCUUGGUGGUAGUAGCAAAUACUCCAGCGAGGCCCUGGAGGACUGAUGUGGAGAAGGGUUUCUUGUGAACAGCUGUUGCACAAGAGUCAGUCGAUCCUAAGCCCUAGGAGAAAUCCGAAGCGAUGGUAUGCCGUUAAA